GACGCCGGCGGCAGGCCUACACAUGCACNUCGAGCGCUCUCUUCGGAGGGAGCGGCGGACNGUUGANUAACGCGUGGGAAUGNACCCUNCUCUGCGGAAUAGCCACUGGAAACGGUGAGUAAUACCGCAUACGCCCUUCGGGGGAAAGAUUUAUCGGAGAAGGAUCAGCCCGCGUUAGAUUAGAUAGUUGGUGGGGUAAUGGCCUACCAAGUCUACGAUCUAUAGCUGGUUUUAGAGGAUGAUCAGCCACACUGGGACUGAGACACGGCCCAGACUCCUACGGGAGGCAGCAGUGGGGAAUCUUAGACAAUGGGCGCAAGCCUGAUCUAGCCAUGCCGCGUGAGUGAUGAAGGCCUUAGGGUCGUAAAGCUCUUUCGCCAGGGAUGAUAAUGACAGUACCUGGUAAAGAACCCCGGCUAACUCCGUGCCAGCAGCCGCGGUAUUACGGAG
This 450-nucleotide ribosomal RNA is filed under the name marine bacterium SIMO IS-S76-286. Its description in RNAcentral is "bacterial SSU rRNA". It matches the Rfam family "Bacterial small subunit ribosomal RNA", at positions 32 to 530 of the family's 1533-position model. The record is from RNAcentral. Lineage: Bacteria; Pseudomonadati; Pseudomonadota; Alphaproteobacteria.